GAGUUGUUAAAGGAAUAUACAGUAUUGUACCUGAGGAAAGUUAGCGUACUAACUACAAAGAGGAUGUUUAUCUGCAAUCAACAGUUAGAAUUCAACAAAAUGGAGCACUUCACUCUCGCCUGCAUGGAUUGCUUGAAGGUCUACAGUGGAUACAACCUACUGGCUCUCCACUCAGCCUUGGACAAUCUGGACAACAUCAAUAUCUAUGUUAGACUGCUGUUUAAUUGAUCGCAACACAGCAUUCAACACCAUCAUCCCCUCAAGCUUCAAAACCUGGACCUCUGUAUCUCCCUCUGCAACCGGAUCCUCUACUUCCACAGCGGGAGACCACAGUCAGUGUGGAUCUGAAAUAACAUCUUCUCCUUGCUGACAAUCAAUGCAGGCGCUCCUUAGGGUUGUGUGCUUAACCCGCUGCUCACUGACUGCAUGGCUAGGCACAGCUCAAACACCACCUAUAAAUUCGCUGAUACUGUAAUACAACUAUUGUCAGCAGAAUCUCAGAUGGUGAUGAGGAGACUGGAGUGAGAUAGAUUGGCUAGUUGAUCUUAGUGAAUGGUGGAGCAGGAAUUUAAAGUUACUGACCCUCUCUGCCUCCCAUACCCUAAUGAUGACCUGCUCAAUGGAGCUUUGAUUUCUUCCUCCUGUGGUAAAUCAUCAGCUCUUUGGUCUUGCUGACAUUAAGCGAGAGGUUGUUGUUAUGGUACUAUUCAACCAGAUUUCCAAUCUCCCUCUGAUAUCCCAACUUAUCAUAAUUCAUGUUCACUCAUUACCCCUAUUCUUAUUGACCUGGUCCCAAAAAGUAUCAAAAUGUAGAGAUAAACAUGAGAAAGUCCGCAGUGUUGGAAAAUCCAGAGCAACAUAUACACAAAAUG
Molecule: long non-coding RNA, 872 nt
Organism: Mobula hypostoma (lesser devil ray)
Lineage: Eukaryota; Metazoa; Chordata; Chondrichthyes; Myliobatiformes; Myliobatidae
Exons: 3
Source: RefSeq, a predicted model, not a curated record